UCGGACGGGGUGAGUAACGCGUGAGGAUCUGCCCUUAGGACGGGGACAACAGUUGGAAACGACUGCUAAUACCCGAUGUGCCGGAAGGUGAAACAUUUAUGGCCUGAGGAUGAGCUCGCGUCUGAUUAGCUAGUUGGAGUGGUAAUGGCACACCAAGGCGACGAUCAGUAGCUGGUCUGAGAGGAUGAUCAGCCACACUGGGACUGAGACACGGCCCAGACUCCUACGGGAGGAGCAGUGGGGAAUUUUCCGCAAUGGGCGCAAGCCUGACGGAGCAAGACCGCGUGGGGGACGAAGGUUUGUGGAUUGUAAACCCCUUUUGAUUGGGAAGAAGUUCUGACGGUACCAAUCGAAUCAGCAUCGGCUAACUCCGUGCCAGCAGCCGCGGUAAUACGGAGGAUGCAAGCGUUAUCCGGAAUUAUUGGGCGUAAAGCGUCCGUAGGUGGCUAUUCAAGUCAGUUGUUAAAGCGUGGGGCUUAACUCCAUAAAGGCAAAUGAACUGAUUGGCUAGAGUGCGAUAGGGGCAAGGGGAAUUUCCAGUGUAGCGGUGAAAUGCGUAGAUAUUGGAAAGAACACCGGUGGCGAAAGCGCCUUGCUGGGUCUGCACUGACACUGAGGGACGAAAGCUAGGGGAGCGAAAGGGAUUAGAUACCCCUGUAGUCACGCGUUACUC
Molecule: ribosomal RNA, 673 nt
Filed under: Stenomitos frigidus PUPCCC 112.1/1
Lineage: Bacteria; Bacillati; Cyanobacteriota; Cyanophyceae; Leptolyngbyales; Leptolyngbyaceae
Description: bacterial SSU rRNA
Rfam family: Bacterial small subunit ribosomal RNA
Source: RNAcentral